RNAcentral lists this long non-coding RNA (675 nucleotides) under Homo sapiens (human). RNAcentral's name for it is "HSALNT0068837". The record is from RNAcentral. Lineage: Eukaryota; Metazoa; Chordata; Mammalia; Primates; Hominidae.
AUUUGAGUUGUCAGUGGUGAAUUCACAUGGGUCUGCAGCAGCCUCAACUCUUGCCUCCUUGGAAGAAAGAAUUCAUCUGAAGAGCAUAAGGCGGAAAAAGGAGACUGAGGCAAGUUUCCGAGCGGGAGUGGAAGUUUAUUAAAAAGCUUUAGAGCAGGAAAGAAAAAGUACACUUGGAAGAGACCCAAGCACGCACUGUGGAGGUGGAGUGCAGCAUUUGACCUUUUGACUUGGGGUCUUAUAUAUUGGCGUACUUCUGGGGCCUUGUGUCCCUUUUCCCAUGAUGCUUUCCUUAGGGUGGGCUGCCUGCAUGCACGGUGCCCUCCUUGCACUCCGGACGUGAGCAUUCGCAGUGGGUUUGUGAAGUUGUAUGUAUGUUUGCCUGAGGCUGCUUCCCUUUUCCGGUAGGACGCCCCCAGAAGGUCAUACUCUGCCAUUUUGUCUCUUAAUGCGCUUGCUCUAGCCCACUUACCCAAUUCCUGAGAUUUUAUUGGAAGCCGCUGGUGAGCAAUUUCAAGUGCCUUUAUCUAUUGGGAAAUUGCCUCUCCCUGGCGCCUGCGACCAAUGAUCAUUUUUAGACAGCCAGUGUAACAACUGUGGGACCAUCACCUCAAGGACUAAACUGAUUUUUUAUCUUGCCCAAAUUCCUAUCUAAGGGGUCUGGGGAGUCCUGCC